RNAcentral lists this ribosomal RNA (253 nucleotides) under uncultured bacterium. RNAcentral describes it as "partial 16S ribosomal RNA". It matches the Rfam family "Bacterial small subunit ribosomal RNA", at positions 524 to 776 of the family's 1533-position model. The record is from RNAcentral.
CACGUAGGAGGCGAGCGUUGUCCGGAAUCAUUGGGCGUAAAGGGUGCGUAGGCGGCGCGGUAAGUCGGGUGUGAAAUCUCGGAGCUUAACUCCGAAACUGCAUUCGAUACUGCCGUGCUUGAGGACUGGAGAGGAGACUGGAAUUUACGGUGUAGCGGUGAAAUGCGUAGAUAUCGUAAGGAAGACCAGUGGCGAAGGCGGGUCUCUGGACAGUUCCUGACGCUGAGGCACGAAGGUCAGGGGAGCAAACGGG